GCCGACACAGGUGGGGUGGCUGGUCCCCCUCUGCCUCUGCUAUGCUGUCCAGGGUCACCUGUGCACAAGGCCUGCCCUGAAUGACCUUGGGGUUCACAGACCCCCCUCCCCAGUGGACCCCCCUAGGGCACCCAGGCCCCAGCACGGACCCCAAGGGUCAGCCUGGGUUUGUCUCUGCUUCUCUCCUAGUGCCAGGUGGAGCUGAGUGAACACUGCAUGCUGUCCACUUGGGCAGCUGCCGGGGGAUGUGCACCUGGUCUCUAGGCUGCGGAGGGAGGAAGACCUGCCACACGCUGUCCACUCUGACAGCUGCCAGGCGAUGUACACCUAGUCUCUAGGCUGCAGAAGGAGGAAGACCUGCCACACGCUGUCCACUCUGACAGCUGCUGGGGGAUGUGCACCUGGUCUCUAGGCUGCGGAGGGAGGAAGACCUGCUGCACGCUGUCCACUCUGACAGCUGCCAGGCGAUGUACACCUAGUCUCUAGGCUGCAGAAGGAGGAAGACCUGCCGCACGCUGUCCACUCUGACAGCUGCCUGGGGACUUGCACCUGGUCUCUAGGCUGCAGAGGCAGGAGGACCUGCAGCUGCACGGGAUGAGGGGGCAGGCACAGGAGUAGUCAGGGUACCUCUCCCUGUGGCUGGGGGUUACCUUGGGGCUACACUAGGAGAUGAUGGAAGUUUCUCCCAAACCUAAGGGCUAAGAGUCCUGUGAGUAGGAAAGGAGCUGUGCUUACAGAUUAAAUGUGCUGCAGACAGCCAGGACCUGCGCACCUUGGGAAUCCCAUCCACACCAGCGGAGUGAGCGCACUUCCUUCUAUUUAGCCAUAGGUCUCAAUCUCCACCCCCUUACGUAAAAUCCCAGAGAUAACCCCCACCACAGGCACUGAAGAAAGCAGAAGUAAGUUCCUGGGAUAGGAAGGAGAGGACAGAACUCAUUUCCACAGAGCGCCAGAGAAGAGCCCCGUCUGAAAAUCCCUGUGGUCGUACCACAGACACCAGGACUUUCCUCACACCCGGAGAGGCUGGAUCAGUUGUGGAGGGCUGACCUGGAAGUGCCUCCUUACCACGCCCUGGGAGAGAUGAUUCAGAGUUAUUCCUGAAUAAGAGGCUUAAGAACAGGACUUCAUGUCUGAACUCUCCUACAGCAUCCUAAUCCUGUGUUCCCUCCAGCAAGGUCACCUGGCUGGCAGUCACACGGCCGUGACACAGAUUGCCCCUGCCUGGUGACCCCCAUCUGCUGGGAAACCCAGGGACACCAGUGGCACAUGGCCCGGCCUGACCCAGCGUGCAGAAAUGACACCCCCAAGGCUCCAGGGUCUGGGUCCUGUGUGGGCAGUUGAACAGUUGCCUGGGAAUAAAAUGCUAUACCCAGAAGGUUCGGGCAGGGCUGUGCUGCUGUGGAAUCUUGGAGUGGGGGGACACAGGCCGCCAGGCACCUCACCUGUGUUCUGAGGUCUGUGAUGGUCUUCUGCAUUUCCAGAACAAACUCUCUGAAGUCAUUUGUCCCAGAUGCAUCUGAGCGUGUGCUGAAGGCUGAGGUGCUGUUGCUGAGAUGUUCCCCCUGUCUCCCAACACUGUGGUGAGGGGAAAGGAGGAGGAGGGAAAUAUAACCUUGGCAGGUCACGCCGGGUCUCAUUUCAAGGUUUCCUGGGUGUGCACCGCCCCUGAUGCUCUGAGCUGGGUCUCAUUUCAAGGUUUCCUGGGUGUGCACCGCCCCUGAUGCUCUGAGUGGGCAGCACAGCAGGACGCAGGCUGCGGCCUGGCCCCCAGUGCCCUGGGACGUCCCUGCCAGGAACCAUCCUCGCCACAGGCCCACAGCAGGAUGCCGGUCCUACUGCCCGACGCCCGCGGUGCGAGGGCCCCUCUGCACAUCAUUUGACCUCAGAGACCACCAUACCUGGGUAUUUUCCGUGGUCUUGUUUUCUUGGUCGGCUUGUCCUCCUGGUAGCUGAACUCAAGAGACCGUCUGCCUCGGAAAUGAUAGGAAAAGGCAUUGAACUGCCCCCUGGUCCUACAGUCUAAAAUGGAAGCACAAAGCAGAAUGUCAGCUCUGAAGGCUCUGACCUCGGGGAAAUUAAGCACAUCCUGCCAACUAUGAAGUCUUCACUGGCUGCCCGUGGAACAAACUGUGGCACAUUUCAGUGAGGCAACCUGGCAGCUGGUCUGCGGCUCUUACCCUCUCCUGGUCUGAGGGGCCAAGCCUCUCUCCACCUGUGCCCCAGCCCUCAUGACCUCCUGGUGCUGGCCGCCCUGAGGACAGCUGGGCACACUGAGGAGGCUCACCACGCCAUCUAACCACACCCUCGCGGAGUUCCCUCCACCCACAGAUGGAGGCUCAGGCACUCUGCCUCGGAGAUCAGAGUCUGCUGUUUCUGGGGGUCCCUCCCCGAUGGCCAGAUGACAAUCUGCACUCUGGAGUGCCUUAAAAUUAUGCUACACUCCCUACGUCACACUGCCAGCCCCAGUGUCAGACAAGAGGCGGCCUGACCCUGCUUCUCCUGAAUGUAGCCCAAACACCUCCCUGCCUAGGAGUGGCUUCCUUCUCAACCUGUGGUGGACUGAGAAGCCCUCAGUGCUAUGCCUCACCUGAGCCCCGGUUUUCAAGAUUAGGAUGACAUCUGCAGGUCAUUAAGCACCCGCCAAGCAGUCACCAAAACCAGGGAUGAAAAAGGAACAGACAUGGUGCCCCUGGCACGCACCUUCACAGCAGUCCUGCCACACCCGGAGGUCUACCCUGGGGAUCUCGUCACAGCUGCCGUAGCCGUGAGGGAACUCCGCCACCCUGAACACGUCGCUCUGCACCCGGGUGAUGUUGUCCGCGUUGUCGCAUAGGAUCCUGGCCAGCGACGUCUGCUUGAUCUGAGUCAGCUGGGCCGGGGAGAACACCCCAGGGUUCUCAUACCACAACCUGGAUCCCCCAAAAUGAAAGCAGGAUCAGAGAAGGGCAGGAGACUCACAGGUCACUAGGAGCUGAGUUAAAAUCUCCCCUGCUUAGUUCACAGCAAUACAGAAACCACUAGGUUUGAUUAGGUGUCACUUAAAAAUGGACUCACACACUGCUCACAUCCCCUACCCCAUAACAAAACCAAAGGCAGACAAUCUGGUGUAAAAAUGACAGUGUUGGCCAGGUGCAGUGGC
This 3139-nucleotide long non-coding RNA is filed under the name Homo sapiens (human). RNAcentral's name for it is "HSALNT0025995". Lineage: Eukaryota; Metazoa; Chordata; Mammalia; Primates; Hominidae. The record is from RNAcentral.